AGGUCAUUUCAAAGAGGGGUGGAUGGGACCAAAGCCAGGAGCCCUGAAUGAUGUGACCAAAGACUGAGUUCUCCAUUGGAUACAAUAGUCACUCGAUAGUGCCAUAUUUUCCCGAUAGGGAUACAAGC
Bison bison bison is the source of this 128-nucleotide small nucleolar RNA. The record is from Ensembl. Lineage: Eukaryota; Metazoa; Chordata; Mammalia; Artiodactyla; Bovidae.